Tyto alba (common barn owl) is the source of this 3295-nucleotide long non-coding RNA. RefSeq lists it as uncharacterized. The transcript has 2 exons. NCBI's taxonomy places the organism in Eukaryota, Metazoa, Chordata, Aves, Strigiformes, Tytonidae. The record is from RefSeq and is a predicted model, not a curated record.
CGUUGCAGUGAUGGCAAGACAGUUCCUUGCUGAACCAAUUAGGGAAUUUAGAGAAACAGAGUUUUCUAUAGCUAGAUCCAUGGAGGCUUUUUGAGCAUGGUCAGCAUAUCUAAAUCAACUGCAGGAUUCCUGAUGUGUUGGAAAGGGGCUUUGUUGUUGUUUGUAAUACACUUAUUUACUCAAGAAAGCUCAGCUCUGAUUCAGCAUCUGGUUCUCAUUGAGGCUCAGCUUUUUUUAAACUGAGCUUUCCAGAUGGGUUGACUGAAGCACAAGGGGGUCAAGAGACUUGUCUGAGGUCAUACAGCAAGUCAGUGGCUCUGCUUGGAUCCGAGCCCAGAACUGUUCAAGGCUACCACUCCUUGGCUCUUAAAGAGACAAUUUUAUUCCCUGUGAAGUGAUCUUAUCACCAUGAAGAAGAAAUGUGAUAAAAGCAGUCCCCUCAAAGCUGCAGCCUGCUUAGAAAGAGUUAUUUUAUUCAGAAGAAGCCACAGCAUUCCAGUGUCUCAAUGGAGCAAGUCAAACCAAAGGGGUGUGAUACUGAUAUGCAGUGUCAUCCACCCCACUCUUGUAUAACCCUGUGCUCCCAUGGGGUGGCUUUAUGCUGCUGCCACCACCGCCAUUCCUGGAUGUCUACUCACAUCCCACCUAGCAGCAUGUCAUGUCAUGAAAUACACUGUCAGUUCAGCACAGGUUGAAGCCCCUUCUCACGGUGAAGAAACUCGAGUGCACUCAGGACCUGGAGCAGAGCCCAAGCACUUGUUGCCACAGCCUGGACACGUGGGGCGCAGGCAGUGCAUCCCAGUUGACUGACCAAAAGAUCCCCUAAGCUCAGCUCUGUUCUCUAUAACCUCCAGGUGCACUCCAUAAGCUCAGCCCUAGGCUGGGCUAUAGCAAGCAGGUCACAGAUCCCAUGGCAAAGGCACACUUGCUCCAAAGCAAGGAGGAGAUGGCAGGUACUGAGCUCUCCUGCAGAAAGCCUGGCUUGGCUCUACCUUUGUUUUCCAGGGGCAGGGUGAGAAAAGCACAACAGAGGGAACGUUGCCAGACAGGUAAGAGGUACUAAAAAGCUAGAGAAAACACAGAUGGGUCUUGCAUGUCAUUCUGCAGAGCCCUCUGCAAACUGGAUCAACCUGUAGCACGUUCUGCUACUUAGGAACGCAGUGUUGCUCAAGUCCUUCCUAUAAUAAAUUCAGUAUCUUAAGGAAAUGAAAGACGCAGAGUGCUAGGGUAUGUUGUGUUAUUGCUCUAGCACUGUUCUAAGGAUGAAAAAGCCAGGUUUUAAACUACUGUAUUCUGUUUAAUAUAUUAAUAGGAAAUGAAACCCUGAAAAUGGUGUACGUGCCAAAAGCAAGCAUAGGUGCGGCCAACUUUCUUAUUCUUACAAGAUGCAUACCCAAAAAUCUUUUGUAUAGCCAAGAACCACAGAAUAAAUACCACAUAGCUCCGGGAGCCCAGAGAAGAGAUAACAGUGACUCUCCAGGGUUCCCACUGUGGGAUGAGGUUAGACCGUGCGUGCAGCUGAGUCCAAUGACAACUCAGUGACGUCAACCUCAGCAGCUAUUGCCUGCUCAGUUCCUCUCUCAGCCAGGGAUGUACAUUAACCAGUGGCACCAGCGGCCUUUGGGUCAACACAACCUUGCUGCUGCAGCAGCUGAGUGGGAGCCAUACCUGAACUGCUGGAGAGUCUCGCAGAACUCAAGAGCCAUGAAAGGGCAACUCUUGAGCUAGUUGGAUACAGGCCUCCAAUGCUGAAAGCCUUUCCUAACUCCCACUGAAAGUGCACAUACAUUUUCUUUUCACAGGUUCACAGAUAAGAUGUUUUGUACGCUCUGAAAAGAGGCAUAGCUUGUUGAAAACGAGGCUUGCUCGCUCUCUCCAGACUUCACAAGACCACACUGGUGUGACUAACUUUGUGGUAUUCUAAAUCUGAUUCAAGACACCACUCUGGAAAGUUGGUUUUGACCAAAUGUUUGAGACAAGCUGGAAUGGGGCAUCCAAAUCAGGGAUUAGUUUCACAGCAAGAUAAACGACAGCCCAGUUUCCAUGCCUCAGAGACUGGCCCUUCCAAACCACAACAGUGAUUGCAAACCAGUUCCCGUGUCUCCAGGGGCAGACUGCUUGCUUCUUCAGCAACAGGCUGGGAAGAGUCAUUGCACACAGGACGGAGGGGCUUCUGCGUAGAUCUGUGCCAGAAGCCAAAGGAAAUCCUCCAUGCAGUGCUGGGAGGGAAGGGAUUGGGCAUGACAACAAAACACUCCAUGGGGAACGGUGCCUCGGACACUAGUAUGUGGCUCAGUACUCAGUUUUCCUGACAAACAAGGAAGCCUCCCUUCACAGAUCCAAAUGCCAAGGCCUAUCCCAGGGUCAGGCUGUGGAGAACCACUGGCUGAACUACUCCGUCCUCGGGUUAAGUUUUCGGGUUGUUUUGUUUUUGUUUUUUUUUUUUUUUGUUGUUGUUGUUUUGUUUUGUUUGGUUUUUUUUUUUUCCCCUAUUUUGUUUUCAAAUGUAAAUGGCUGAACGGCUCCCCCCUCCCCUUUACAACUUGUUGCUCUUCCAGUUCAAACAAAGACAGCGGAGCUCCUCCUCCGCUUGCUCGGCCGCGGGGCAGCGCAGCCGCCCGCCUUUGUUUACCGGCUCUCCCGCAGGCGGGGCGGGCGGCGGGGCGGCCCCGGGCCCGGGCAGCGCCGAGCCGGGCCCGGACACCGACACGGACACGGACACGGAGCCAAGCCCAGGCCCAGGGCGGGUUUGGCGGGGCCGGCUCCGGCGGGCAUUCCUGGAUGCGUUUCCAAGGCACAGACAUCAGAUAGGCUAAUCUUCCUGUUACAGCUUCUUUAGUCCUUAUGCUAUUCGGAGAUGAAGAGUCACAGCAUUCCCUCAUCUCUGACGACACCGAGAGGACCAAACCUUUGCCUAGCCACAAGCCACAUUCUCUGAGCAGGACAAAGAUCCUCACUUACCUUCGGGAAGAAUUGCAACAGAUCCUACAGUUAACAGAGCACCAGCUCACUUGGAAGUGAGAUAAGCUUUCUGUCUCUCUCUGAAGUCAGCAAGUGUCAGCUUCUACCAAUGCAAGUGGAUACACACUUUCCUUGCUGGGCUUGCAUAGAAGUGGCAAAGUGCUGCCUACUGCCAAACCUCUGCUGCCUCUGACAAACUCUGCCUGGGCUGGGAUUUCCAUUUCAUCUCUACUCAACAGGGGAAGGAGGGCAAGGAAGAAAGAAUCAGGGGUCUUAUUGGUGCUGGUUUUAUUUUGUUUCUUUGAAGAGCAGGGUUUCCUUUUUUUUUUUUUUU